CCAGUCCUACGGGAGGCAGCAGUGAGGAAUAUUGGUCAAUGGACGAGAGUCUGAACCAGCCAAGUAGCGUGAAGGAUGACUGCCCUAUGGGUUGUGAACUUCUUUUAUAUGGGAAUAAAACGUUCCACGUGUGGGAUUUUGUAUGUACCAUAUGAAUAAGGAUCGGCUAACUCCGUGCCAGCAGCCGCGGUAAUACGGAGGAUCCGAGCGUUAUCCGGAUUUAUUGGGUUCAAAGGGAGCGUAGGUGGAUUGUUAAGUCAGUUGUGAAAGUUUGCGGCUCAACCGUAAAACUGCAGUUGAAACUG
This 305-nucleotide ribosomal RNA is filed under the name uncultured bacterium. Its description in RNAcentral is "bacterial SSU rRNA". It matches the Rfam family "Bacterial small subunit ribosomal RNA", at positions 333 to 635 of the family's 1533-position model. The record is from RNAcentral.